Molecule: transfer RNA, 91 nt
Filed under: Mesorhizobium loti
Lineage: Bacteria; Pseudomonadati; Pseudomonadota; Alphaproteobacteria; Hyphomicrobiales; Phyllobacteriaceae
Also listed under: 988 other names
Description: tRNA-Ser
Rfam family: tRNA
About the family: Transfer RNA (tRNA) molecules are approximately 80 nucleotides in length.
Source: RNAcentral
GGAGAGGUGGCCGAGUGGUCGAAGGCGCUCCCCUGCUAAGGGAGUAGAGGUCAAAAGCUUCUCGUGGGUUCGAAUCCCAUCCUCUCCGCCA